Lethenteron reissneri (Far Eastern brook lamprey) is the source of this 1083-nucleotide long non-coding RNA. RefSeq lists it as uncharacterized. The record is from RefSeq and is a predicted model, not a curated record. Lineage: Eukaryota; Metazoa; Chordata; Hyperoartia; Petromyzontiformes; Petromyzontidae.
GCCGACAACAACGCCACGCUCGCCAUCGACGGCCUGCGGCCGACGACGCCGCCACCUACUCGUGCGUCGCCUCCAACCGCGUGAGCCGCCAGGAGGCGACGUUUGUCGUCACAGUUGAGGGAAACGGCGCCGCGAGGCUGGGACGCGGAACGCCGUGGAGCGCUGGCGUCAUCCCCCUCUUCAUCCUCAGCUGUCUGCUGAUCGUUGCCUAAGUGGCAGCCCAACACCCAUCAGCACCAUCAGCACCAUCAGCAGCAUCAGCACCCUCGGAGCAGGAAUAAGAAGAAGAGGAGCGAGCGAACGAGUGGAGGAGGAGGAUGAAGAUGAGGAGGGACGAGGAAGAAGAUCCCAACAUAUUUAAAAGAAGAAGAACACGUUAUUCAAUCCACGUGCGCCACAGCCUCCUCAUCCUCCCUCCCCCUCCCUCCCUCCUCUCCUCCUCCUCCUCCUCCUCGCCCUUCACUCGGCAUCCUUCAGCUGUCGAUGUCCGUGAUUGACCGUCGUCGCUUUCUCGCCGCGCUGUUUCGUCUCCGUACGCGAUGCUGCCGCGUCGUUUUCGUCUCCCCGCUCCUUUCUUUCGCGAACGUCGCGCAAUUUUUUUUUCUGGUCUCACGCGGUCGUUUCACUUCUCCCUCACCUCGCCCUCCCUUCCUUCCUCCCUCCCCCCUCUCCCUCUCUCUCAACGAUUUGCCACAACUGUGAGCCGCGUGUUAUCAUCCCUGACACGAGCGCGUGGCUGAGCCCCGAUUGGAAUCGCGGUGGAGGCCCUGGGGCGCGGUAGCUUGAGUCGAGAGCAUACCACGCGCCACGUGUUGUGUUGUGCGUUGUGCGCGUCCGACUUCUCGCGCGCCGCACGUAGCCAACCGCGCCGAAUCACUGAAACUAAAACGCCGCUAUUGCACGGUUAACCCCGGGGUGACCCCCCCCCACACACAUUUAGGAGCCUUUGCGAACGCAAAUGUAGACGUCUAGGAAGAGCUUCGUGUAUCGGUCAGGGCGCAAGGCUGGCGCGCUGCGAUCCGGACUCGGUAGGCGACGGAGCGAGCCACCCCCCCGCGUAGCUAACAGGGGGGUAACGGCGGC